Molecule: ribosomal RNA, 464 nt
Filed under: uncultured bacterium
Lineage: Bacteria
Description: bacterial SSU rRNA
Rfam family: Bacterial small subunit ribosomal RNA
Source: RNAcentral
UCGGGAAUAUUGGGCAAUGGAGGGAACUCUGACCCAGCCAUGCCGCGUGCAGGAUGAAGGCGUUAUGCGUUGUAAACUGCUUUUUAUAUAGGAAGAAAUAGUCCUUGCGAGGAAAGUUGACGGUACUAUAUGAAUAAGCACCGGCUAACUCCGUGCCAGCAGCCGCGGUAAUACGGAGGGUGCAAGCGUUGUCCGGAUUUAUUGGGUUUAAAGGGUGCGUAGGCGGUUUAUUAAGUCAGUGGUGAAAGACGGUCGCUCAACGAUUGCAGUGCCAUUGAUACUGGUAGACUUGAGUAUGAUUGAGGUAGCUGGAAUGGAUAGUGUAGCGGUGAAAUGCAUAGAUAUUAUCCAGAACACCAAUUGCGUAGGCAAGUUACUAAGUCAUAACUGACGCUGAGGCACGAAAGUGUGGGUAUCAAACAGGAUUAGAUACCCUGGUAGUCCCUGAGCGGGCUGGCAAGGCG